RNAcentral lists this ribosomal RNA (305 nucleotides) under uncultured bacterium. Its description in RNAcentral is "bacterial SSU rRNA". It matches the Rfam family "Bacterial small subunit ribosomal RNA", at positions 335 to 659 of the family's 1533-position model. The record is from RNAcentral.
UGUCCUACGGGGGGCAGCAGUGGGAAUAUUGCACAAUGGGGGAAACCCUGAUGCAGCGACGCCGCGUGAGUGAGGAAGUAUUUCGGUAUGUAAAGCUCUAUCAGCAGGGAAGAAAAUGACGGUACCUGACUAAGAAGCCCCGGCUAACUACGUGCCAGCAGCCGCGGUAAUACGGAGGAUGCGAGCGUUAUCCGGAUUUAUUGGGUUUAAAGGGUGCGCAGGCGGUCUGUUAAGUCAGCGGUCAAAGCCCGGGGCUCAACCCCGGCCCGCCGUUGAAACUGGCAGUCUCGAGUUGGAGAGAAGUA